AACGGGUGGAGCCUGCGGUUUAAUUGGAUUCAACGCCGGAAAUCUCACCGGGGGCGACAGCAAUAUGAAGGUCAGGCUGAAGACCUUACCCGAUUAGCUGAGAGGUGGUGCAUGGCCGUCGUCAGUUCGUACUGUGAAGCAUCCUGUUAAGUCAGGCAACGAGCGAGACCCACGUCCACAGUUGCCAGCAUACCCUCCGGGGUGAUGGGUACACUGUGGAGACCGCCGCUGCUAAAGCGGAGGAAGGAGUGGGCAACGGUAGGUCAGUAUGCCCCGAAUCUCCCGGGCUACACGCGGGCUACAAUGGUUGGUACAAUGGGCAUCUACCCCGAAAGGGGAAGGAAAUCUCUUAAAGCCAAUCGUAGUUCGGAUUGAGGGCUGCAACUCGCCCUCAUGAAGCUGGAAUCCGUAGUAAUCGCGUUUCAACAGAACGCGGUGAAUACGUCCCUGCUCCUU
This 456-nucleotide ribosomal RNA is filed under the name uncultured Methanosaeta sp. RNAcentral describes it as "bacterial SSU rRNA". It matches the Rfam family "Archaeal small subunit ribosomal RNA", at positions 883 to 1338 of the family's 1478-position model. The record is from RNAcentral. Lineage: Archaea; Methanobacteriati; Methanobacteriota; Methanomicrobia; Methanotrichales; Methanotrichaceae.